RNAcentral lists this ribosomal RNA (440 nucleotides) under uncultured bacterium. Its description in RNAcentral is "bacterial SSU rRNA". It matches the Rfam family "Bacterial small subunit ribosomal RNA", at positions 339 to 796 of the family's 1533-position model. The record is from RNAcentral.
GUACGGGAGGCAGCAGUGGGGAAUAUUGCACAAUGGGGGAAACCCUGAUGCAGCGACGCCGCGUGAGUGAAGAAGUAUUUCGGUAUGUAAAGCUCUAUCAGCAGGGAAGAAAAUGACGGUACCUGACUAAGAAGCCCCGGCUAACUACGUGCCAGCAGCCGCGGUAAUACGUAGGGGGCAAGCGUUAUCCGGAUUUACUGGGUGUAAAGGGAGCGUAAGUGGUUCGGUAAGUCAGAUGUGAAAGCCCGGGGCUCAACCCCGGGACUGCAUUUGAAACUAUCGGACUGGAGUGCAGGAGAGGUAAGUGGAAUUCCUAGUGUAGCGGUGAAAUGCGUAGAUAUUAGGAGGAACACCAGUGGCGAAGGCGGCUUACUGGACUGUAACUGACACUGAGGCUCGAAAGCGUGGGGAGCAAACAGGAUUAGAUACCCCAGUAGUCG